This 145-nucleotide small nucleolar RNA is filed under the name Drosophila willistoni. RNAcentral's name for it is "snoRNA:GK26665". The record is from RNAcentral. Lineage: Eukaryota; Metazoa; Arthropoda; Insecta; Diptera; Drosophilidae.
UGGCGAAACUUAAUUCCAUAAUUUGGUAGCACUUUUAAGUUUCCAUUUAUGGCCAGACAUUUUGCUAGAAUAAAACUUUAGUUUAUGACGUCUUCAGCAUUUGCCGAGAAUUUGGCCUAUGAUCUGAACAUGACAUAAGCACAUU